GGGUGAGUAACGCGUGGGCAACCUGGCCUGUACAGGGGGAUAACACUUAGAAAUAGGUGCUAAUACCGCAUAACGGGGGAAGCCGCAUGGCUUUUCCCUGAAAACUCCGGUGGUACAGGAUGGGCCCGCGUCUGAUUAGCCAGUUGGCAGGGUAACGGCCUACCAAAGCGACGAUCAGUAGCCGGCCUGAGAGGGCGGACGGCCACACUGGGACUGAGACACGGCCCAGACUCCUACGGAAGGCAGCAG
RNAcentral lists this ribosomal RNA (249 nucleotides) under uncultured bacterium. RNAcentral describes it as "partial 16S ribosomal RNA". It matches the Rfam family "Bacterial small subunit ribosomal RNA", at positions 104 to 354 of the family's 1533-position model. The record is from RNAcentral.